CCGGAAUUAUUGGGGUUUAAAGGGUGCGUAGGUGGGCUUAUAAGUCAGCGGUGAAAUCCCCCGGCUCAACCAGGGAAUUGCCGUUGAUACUGUUAGCCUUGGGUACAGUUGAAGUGGGCGGAAUGUAGCAUGUAGCGGUGAAAUGCAUAGAUAUGCUACAGAACACCAAUAGCGAAGGCAGCUCACUAAGUUGUAACUGACACUAAUGCACGAAAGCGUGGGGAUCAAACAGGAUUAGAUACCCUGGUAGUCCACGCUGUAAACGAUGAUCACUCGUUGUUGGCGAUAUACAGUCAGCGACUGAACGAAAGUAUUAAGUGAUCCACCUGGGGAGUACGAUCGCAAGGUUGAAACUCAAAGGAAUUGACGGGGGCCCGCACAAGCGGAGGAACAUGUGGUUUAAUUCGAUGAUACGCGAGGAACCUUACC
Molecule: ribosomal RNA, 429 nt
Filed under: uncultured Bacteroidota bacterium
Lineage: Bacteria; Pseudomonadati; Bacteroidota
Description: bacterial SSU rRNA
Rfam family: Bacterial small subunit ribosomal RNA
Source: RNAcentral